GAUUUUUUUUUCAAAUAUUUGCCAAAAGAAACAUUUUCCGAAAAAAAACCAAUCCAUAUAAUAACGUUUUGUCCUUUAAAUCUUUUUUUGGGGGUCCGUAGAAAUACCGCAAAAGACCCCUUUAGUGCAAAGAACAAAAAAUUGCACUAAGGACCUGAUGGAAUGAUAAAAUUGACACAAAGGACAUUGCAUAUCUAAGUUAACGUUUUAGAAAUAAAUAAUUUCAAGUUUUAUAAUCAUAUCUUAAGUAAUUAGAAAGUUAUUUAAUGUUCUAUCGAACGCGCCACACUCAGUUGAUUGUAAUCUAUAGAAAUUCAUGUUCGUUCAACC
This 330-nucleotide long non-coding RNA is filed under the name Mytilus galloprovincialis (Mediterranean mussel). Lineage: Eukaryota; Metazoa; Mollusca; Bivalvia; Mytilida; Mytilidae. The record is from RNAcentral.